Molecule: ribosomal RNA, 253 nt
Filed under: uncultured bacterium
Lineage: Bacteria
Description: partial 16S ribosomal RNA
Rfam family: Bacterial small subunit ribosomal RNA
Source: RNAcentral
UACGUAGGGUGCGAGCGUUAAUCGGAAUUACUGGGCGUCAAGCGUGCGCAGGCGGUUUUGUAAGACAGUCGUGCAAUCCCCGGGCUCAACCUGGGGAUGGCGAUUGUGACUGCAAGGCUGGAGUGCGGCAGAGGGGGAUGGAAUUCCGCGUGUAGCAGUGAAAUGCGUAGAUAUGCGGAGGAACACCGAUGGCGAAGGCAGUCCCCUGGGCCGGCACUGACGCUCAUGCGCGAAAGCGUGGGGAGCAAACAGG